AUGAACGCUGGCGGCGUGCCUAAUACAUGCAAGUCGAGCGAACAGACGAGGAGCUUGCUCCUCUGACGUUAGCGGCGGACGGGUGAGUAACACGUGGAUAACCUACCUAUAAGACUGGGAUAACUUCGGGAAACCGGAGCUAAUACCGGAUAAUAUAUUGAACCGCAUGGUUCAAUAGUGAAAGACGGUUUUGCUGUCACUUAUAGAUGGAUCCGCGCCGCAUUAGCUAGUUGGUAAGGUAACGGCUUACCAAGGCGACGAUGCGUAGCCGACCUGAGAGGGUGAUCGGCCACACUGGUACUGAGACACGGUCCAGACUCCUACGGGAGGCAGCAGUAGGGAAUCUUCCGCAAUGGGCGAAAGCCUGACGGAGCAACGCCGCGUGAGUGAUGAAGGUCUUCGGAUCGUAAAACUCUGUUAUUAGGGAAGAACAAAUGUGUAAGUAACUAUGCACGUCUUGACGGUACCUAAUCAGAAAGCCACGGCUAACUACGUG
This 496-nucleotide ribosomal RNA is filed under the name uncultured bacterium. Its description in RNAcentral is "partial 16S ribosomal RNA". It matches the Rfam family "Bacterial small subunit ribosomal RNA", at positions 29 to 507 of the family's 1533-position model. The record is from RNAcentral.